This 301-nucleotide ribosomal RNA is filed under the name uncultured bacterium. Its description in RNAcentral is "partial 16S ribosomal RNA". It matches the Rfam family "Bacterial small subunit ribosomal RNA", at positions 509 to 807 of the family's 1533-position model. The record is from RNAcentral.
CAGCCGCCGCGGGAAUACAGAGGGUGCAAGCGUUAAUCGGAAUUACUGGGCGUAAAGCGCGCGUAGGUGGUUUGUUAAGUUGGAUGUGAAAGCCCCGGGCUCAACCUGGGAACUGCAUCCAAAACUGGCAAGCUAGAGUACGGUAGAGGGUGGUGGAAUUUCCUGUGUAGCGGUGAAAUGCGUAGAUAUAGGAAGGAACACCAGUGGCGAAGGCGACCACCUGGACUGAUACUGACACUGAGGUGCGAAAGCGUGGGGAGCAAACAGGAUUAGAUACCCCGGUAGUCCCUGUCUCUUAUAC